Molecule: ribosomal RNA, 1002 nt
Filed under: uncultured bacterium
Lineage: Bacteria
Description: bacterial SSU rRNA
Rfam family: Bacterial small subunit ribosomal RNA
Source: RNAcentral
AGUGAGGAAUAUUGCACAAUGGGGGCAACCCUGAUGCAGCAACGCCGCGUGGAGGAUGACGCAUUUCGGUGUGUAAACUCCUUUUAUAUGUCAAGAAAAUGACGGUAGCAUAUGAAUAAGCACCGGCUAACUCCGUGCCAGCAGCCGCGGUAAUACGGAGGGUGCAAGCGUUAUUCGGAAUCACUGGGCGUAAAGGACGCGUAGGCGGGUUGGUAAGUCAGAUGUGAAAUCCUACAGCUUAACUGUAGAACUGCAUUUGAAACUACUAACCUAGAGUAUGGGAGGGGGAGAUGGAAUUAGUGGUGUAGGGGUAAAAUCCGUAGAUAUCACUAGGAAUACCGAAAGCGAAGGCGAUCUCCUGGAACAUAACUGACGCUAAGGCGUGAAAGCGUGGGGAGCAAACAGGAUUAGAUACCCUGGUAGUCCACGCCCUAAACGAUGAACACUAGUCGUCGGGAUGCUAGUCAUCUCGGUGAUGCACUUAACAGAUUAAGUGUUCCGCCUGGGGAGUACGGUCGCAAGAUUAAAACUCAAAGGAAUAGACGGGGACCCGCACAAGUGGUGGAGCAUGUGGUUUAAUUCGAAGAUACGCGAAGAACCUUACCUAGCCUUGACAUUGAAGAAAUAGACCAGAGAUGGACUAGUGCCCUUCGGGGAAUCUGAAAACAGGUGCUGCACGGCUGUCGUCAGCUCGUGUCGUGAGAUGUUGGGUUAAGUCCCGCAACGAGCGCAACCCUCGUCCUUAGUUGCUAGCAGUUCGGCUGAGCACUCUAAGGAGACUGCCUUCGCAAGGAGGAGGAAGGUGAGGACGACGUCAAGUCAUCAUGGCCCUUAUGGCUAGGGCUACACACGUGCUACAAUGGGGCGUACAGAGUGUUGCGAUACCGCGAGGUGGAGCUAAUCACUUAAAGCGUCUCUCAGUUCGGAUUGGAGUCUGCAACUCGACUCCAUGAAGCUGGAAUCACUAGUAAUCGUAGAUCAGCAAUGCUACGGUGAAUACGU